Molecule: transfer RNA, 78 nt
Filed under: Planctomycetota bacterium
Lineage: Bacteria; Pseudomonadati; Planctomycetota
Description: Planctomycetes bacterium (bioreactor metagenome) tRNA-Pro
Rfam family: tRNA
About the family: Transfer RNA (tRNA) molecules are approximately 80 nucleotides in length. Their secondary structure includes four short double-helical elements and three loops (D, anti-codon, and T loops). Further hydrogen bonds mediate the characteristic L-shaped molecular structure. tRNAs have two regions of fundamental functional importance: the anti-codon, which is responsible for specific mRNA codon recognition, and the 3' end, to which the tRNAs corresponding amino acid is attached (by aminoacyl-tRNA synthetases). tRNAs cope with the degeneracy of the genetic code in two manners: having more than one tRNA (with a specific anti-codon) for a particular amino acid; and 'wobble' base-pairing, i.e. permitting non-standard base-pairing at the 3rd anti-codon position.
Source: RNAcentral
CGGGGCGUAGCUCAGCUUGGCUAGAGCGCUUGCCUUGGGAGCAAGAGGUCACCCGUUCAAAUCGGGCCGCCCCGACCA